AUGGGGUGCCCCGGGACGCCUUUGCCUUCCCGCACCUGCCCGGUUUGGAGCGUGAAGAACCACCCCACGGCUCAGCGGGGAUCUCUCGGCGCCCCUGGGCGCCCCCCCCAGCGCCCCAUCACCGCCCGGGGAACGCGCAGGUGCCACCGCAGCCCCUCCCGCGCCAGGCCUCCGCCGCGAUCCCGCGCCCGCCUCCCUGCGCCCCGGAGGCAGCUUCAGCCCAUCCCUAAGGGGCACGGAUUGUUCUUUCCGGGCGAGACAGAGCAGGGACAGGUGCUGGCCAAACCGGGGGAGGCGGGCGCGCGGCUCCAGGGCGCGCCCCCUGCGCGGGGAUGGGGGAUGGGGGGUGGGGGGUGGGUGCAGGCUCCCCGGACCCCACGCCGCGCGCGAGGCCAAUUCCGUCUCUUAAAAGGACGACUCAGGACCCCGAGGUUGGUAAAAGUCAGAAGGGAACUCCUUUCUCACGGUUGCCCCAAGACUCCUCCUUGCAGUGUCAAGUCGCUUGGAAAGUGGUUUGCUAAGAAAUCCUCUCCUGAUCGUGGGCGCUCUGACGAGUGGGCAGCGCGCAUCCCCAGCCGAAACGGGUGCAGAACCAGCUGAAACUGGUGCAGAAAGCCAGGUGCUGGCUGUGCGCUGACGUCCGUGUGGCUAUCUGGGCUAACUUUGCUCGCCAAAGCCCAGUUUACAAAGGAGAUUGCCUUGGGAUGAAAAAGUAAUCCUUGUAAAAUGCUGAGAGCAGCACCUGGCGACAAGCAACAACUCAAUAAAGAUUAAUUAUUAUUGCUAAUAAUAUAUUAGUUCAUGUUUUUCUACCAAAAAAAACUUUUAUUGUUUGUGAUUCCAUUUAGACAAUAUUCUUAUACCUUGUGAACACCUAAGUGUCUUUUAUUUCAUGCAUAUCAGAACCUAGGACUGUGCUGGGCUCAAGUUUGUGGUUUAGACUGAAUUAUUUACUCGUUGGGUUGCCCUGCAGAGAUAAUAGAAAUAAAAGGGCGGUGGUGAAAUAAGAGACACAUGAAAUUGGAGUCUCCUUUAUCCUUCACUUUAUCACUGUCUGCUUCUUCAUAACAUCCCCGGAUUUGGGGGACUGUCUGUUGUAAUUCCUCUGCUGGAACUGGUUCCAGCUGAGCCUCAGUAGAGCCAGUGACAACAGUCACCAAACAUAGUUCAAGCUCAACCAAUUUUGACCCUGUCUGGGCUCCCACAGGGCUGAACAUGAUAAAGAAGACACAGAAGGGUACAGAUUCAAGCCAUACGAGCAGAUUUACUUGAGAACUCUAUAUUCUACAAGCGCCUCUCAACAUAACACUAUACCAAUAAUAAUAAUAGCAAAAAUAACAACAACCAACAUUUGCUGAGCACGUAUUAUGGACUAGACUAACCACUUUCCUAUCACAUUUAAUCCAUAUAGCAAACAAUGCAUUCUGUUACUUUCAUUUUAUUCAGUGAAAAAACAGAGAAAAGUCACUGGGAGCCAACUUAAGCAAAGUAAUACCACCAGUAAAAUGUUGAGAUUCAAACCCAAGUUCGUAGCUCUCCAAAGCUCAUCCAGGUAAAGCAAUCAAGCUUACAAGGGCCUCUGGCCACACAGCCCAGCUCUAAAGCACAAACACCAUAGUACUGGUUCUCUGCAGGGCAGAGUGCAAUGUACCUCCCAUGUCCCUUGUCUCUGUCCAUCUCACAACACGGUACGUCAGCCCAGCAUCUCAUCUUCUACAAAAGACACCAAAGAUUUUCUUUUUCACCAUCCCUGGUUACUGGUGUACUUAAAAUUUCUUGAAGUGUGACCGUCCCUGGUUCGUAACUUACGCCAGAGAGACCUGCUCCCAUUUCCUUUUGCUGGUGCACAAGCAUUGAAGCUACAAGUCACGAAGGCAAAGCAUUUAUUGAUUAGAUUCUCCUCAAUAGUCAACCUCUGCCAAGAUUAGAUUUGGACUUUAAUAAAAAUGACCACUCCGCUUCCUUUCCUUGCUCCUCCUCCUCUAAUGUAUAACUAGUAGAAAGCUGGAGAAAGGCAGCGGCUGGCCAGCUGCAUGUGCCACACUCAUCACAGGACGUGGAGUUAAGAG
This 2069-nucleotide long non-coding RNA is filed under the name Canis lupus familiaris (dog). RNAcentral's name for it is "lncRNA (ENSCAFG00000059378.1)". Lineage: Eukaryota; Metazoa; Chordata; Mammalia; Carnivora; Canidae. The record is from RNAcentral.